GAUGAACGCUGGCGGCGUGCCUAAUACAUGCAAGUCGAGCGAACAGAUGUGGAGCUUGCUCCUCUGACGUUAGCGGCGGACGGGUGAGUAACACGUGGAUAACCUACCUAUAAGACUGGGAUAACUUCGGGAAACCGGAGCUAAUACCGGAUAAUAUAUUGAACCGCAUGGUUCAAUAGUGAAAGACGGUUUUGCUGUCACUUAUAGAUGGAUCCGCGCCGCAUUAGCUAGUUGGUAAGGUAACGGCUUACCAAGGCAACGAUGCGUAGCCGACCUGAGAGGGUGAUCGGCCACACUGGAACUGAGACACGGUCCAGACUCCUACGGGAGGCAGCAGUAGGGAAUCUUCCGCAAUGGGCGAAAGCCUGACGGAGCAACGCCGCGUGAGUGAUGAAGGUCUUCGGAUCGUAAAACUCUGUUAUUGGGGAAGAACAAAUGUGUAAGUAACUAUGCACGUCUUGACGGUACCUAAUCAGAAAGCCACGGCUAACUACGUG
This 497-nucleotide ribosomal RNA is filed under the name uncultured bacterium. RNAcentral describes it as "partial 16S ribosomal RNA". It matches the Rfam family "Bacterial small subunit ribosomal RNA", at positions 28 to 507 of the family's 1533-position model. The record is from RNAcentral.